Molecule: ribosomal RNA, 489 nt
Filed under: uncultured bacterium
Lineage: Bacteria
Description: partial 16S ribosomal RNA
Rfam family: Bacterial small subunit ribosomal RNA
Source: RNAcentral
AUUGAACGCUGGCGGCAGGCCUAACACAUGCAAGUCGAACGGUAACAGGAAACAGCUUGCUGUUUCGCUGACGAGUGGCGGACGGGUGAGUAAUGUCUGGGAAACUGCCUGAUGGAGGGGGAUAACUACUGGAAACGGUAGCUAAUACCGCAUAACGUCGCAAGACCAAAGAGGGGGACCCUCGGGCCUCUUGCCAUCGGAUGUGCCCAGAUGGGAUUAGCUUGUUGGUGGGGUAACGGCUCACCAAGGCGACGAUCCCUAGCUGGUCUGAGAGGAUGACCAGCCACACUGGAACUGAGACACGGUCCAGACUCCUACGGGAGGCAGCAGUGGGGAAUAUUGCACAAUGGGCGCAAGCCUGAUGCAGCCAUGCCGCGUGUAUGAAGAAGGCCUUCGGGUUGUAAAGUACUUUCAGCGGGGAGGAAGGGAGUAAAGUUAAUACCUUUGCUUAUUGACGUUACCCGCAGAAGAAGCACCGGCUAACUCCGU